AUAUUCUGUUGUGCCGAAUCAGCCGAGAAAGAAUGCUGCGUAUGGGCCAAGAAGCUCAUCUGUUUCAGACACCAGAGGUCCGGUGUCGAGAGCUAACAGCAGUCCCAAAAAGAGUGUAUGCAAGUAUUGGAAAGCUGGAAACUGCAAGAGGGGUGAGCAGUGCCAGUUCUUACACUGUUGGUCUUGUUUCCCUGGUUUGGCCAUGGUAGCUGCUCUUGAAGGACACAAGAAGGAUAUAAAGGGGAUCGCCCUCCCUGAGGGUUCAGAUAAACUCUUUUCAGUCAGUAGCGAUGGUACAUUGCGAAUUUGGGACUGCCAUACUGGUCAGUGUGUACAUACCAUCAAUCUCUAAUCAGUGAAGGCCCAUGGUUUUUCCUUGGCUUGCAAAAAACUGUAAAGGCUUUUAAUGUUCAAACCAGUAAAGAUUUGCAUCUUGACGGGGUGGUUGGUCAGGUGCAUGCAAUGACUGUUGCUAAAGGAAUGCUUUUUGCUAGAACAAGUUCUGGCAGCAUAUCAGUCUGGAAAGCUACAGACUCUGA
Non-coding RNA from Camelina sativa (false flax), 539 nucleotides. The record is from RefSeq and is a predicted model, not a curated record. NCBI's taxonomy places the organism in Eukaryota, Viridiplantae, Streptophyta, Magnoliopsida, Brassicales, Brassicaceae.